RNAcentral lists this ribosomal RNA (482 nucleotides) under uncultured bacterium. Its description in RNAcentral is "partial 16S ribosomal RNA". It matches the Rfam family "Bacterial small subunit ribosomal RNA", at positions 26 to 507 of the family's 1533-position model. The record is from RNAcentral.
GGGGGGGGGGGGGGGGGGGCCGGGGGCAGGCAGGGCGGGCGGGGGCGGGGGGGCGGGGGCUGGCGGGUGGGGGGCGGGGGAGUAAUACAGCGGAGCGUGCCCGGGCGGGGGGGAGAGCGAGGCGGAAGCUUUGCUGAUACGGCAUACGAUCUACGGAUGAAAGCGGGGGAGCUUCGGACCUCGCGCGUGCGGACCGGCCGAUGGCAGAUUAGGUAGUUGGUGGGAUAGAAGCUUACCAAGCCGACGAUCUGUAGCUGGUCUGAGAGGAUGAUCAGCCACACUGGGACUGAGACACGGCCCAGACUCCUACGGGAGGCAGCAGUGGGGAAUUUUGGACAAUGGGCGAAAGCCUGAUCCAGCCAUGCCGCGUGCAGGAUGAAGGCCUUCGGGUUGUAAACUGCUUUUGUACGGAACGAAAAGCCUCUUUCUAAUAAAGAGGGGUCAUGACGGUACCGUAAGAAUAAGCACCGGCUAACUACGUG